This 434-nucleotide ribosomal RNA is filed under the name uncultured Lachnospiraceae bacterium. RNAcentral's name for it is "partial 16S ribosomal RNA". It matches the Rfam family "Bacterial small subunit ribosomal RNA", at positions 341 to 792 of the family's 1533-position model. The record is from RNAcentral. Lineage: Bacteria; Bacillati; Bacillota; Clostridia; Lachnospirales; Lachnospiraceae.
ACGGGAGGCAGCAGUGGGGAAUAUUGGACAAUGGGGGAAACCCUGAUCCAGCGACGCCGCGUGAGUGAAGAAGUAUUUCGGUAUGUAAAGCUCUAUCAGCAGGGAAGAUAAUGACGGUACCUGACUAAGAAGCCCCGGCUAACUACGUGCCAGCAGCCGCGGUAAUACGUAGGGGGCAAGCGUUAUCCGGAUUUACUGGGUGUAAAGGGAGCGUAGACGGCAUGGCAAGCCAGAUGUGAAAGGCAGGGGCUCAACUCCUGGACUGCAUUUGGAACUGUCAAGCUAGAGUAUCGGAGAGGUAAGUGGAAUUCCUAGUGUAGCGGUGAAAUGCGUAGAUAUUAGGAGGAACACCAGUGGCGAAGGCGGCUUGCUGGACGAUAACUGACGUUGAGGCUCGAAAGCGUGGGGAGCAAACAGGAUUAGAUACCCUGGUA